GGGGGGUGUGUGGAAGGGGAGGAGGGGAAGGAGGGGGGAGAAAUCAAAUAAAUAAAUAACCUCCGCACCAAUAAGAGAGGCAGCGGCUGCUGAGAAGGCUGGGAUCGGAUGGGAGAGGUCCUUCUUGGGCUCUAUUUGUUUGUUUGUGACUGGAGCUGCAAAGUUCAGAGCCAAACGUGUUGCUUGCCGGUGGCGGCGGCCGCCCCGCUUCACCUGCUCCGCUGACGGGUGCCUGCCCGGGGCGGCCCCACUGCUCUGCGGGCCUUCUGCCCGGCAUCCUGCUUGCUACUGGGGCCGACGGACGGCAGAGGAGCGCGGGGCUCCGUCCCUCGCCUGCCCGCCUUCCCCUCCGCGCCUGCCGGAGAGCAACGGACAGGUGUAGCUACAGAAAAAUAUCACAUUGAUCACAGGAGCAGAAAACAAUCUGGAUUUUCUUCUGAUGUGCUGACUACAGUGAUUGAAGUAUUGAAUCCUUUCACACCACCUUCCUGUAAAUACCCUGUUUCCAUAGACUACCAAAAGAAACUGCAAGAGACUUCAAAGGCAAUCACUUCAAACUGCAGCUUCAUGCUUUCACUGAGAACAUAGAUUCUACUGCCAGGAAGUAACAAUAAAAUGUUGUGUCCAAUCAUGAUUAUGGAGGAUUAAGCCAUAAACCUUCUUUUCUGUGAUGGAAGCUGCCUUGCCUGGGAGUAAGUUUUCCAUUAAUGCUUUUUUCUUCAGUAAUGCUGGAGUUGAGGCAAGUUUAGGUGAAAUAUUUUUCAGUAGUGAGCAGGCAG
Molecule: long non-coding RNA, 779 nt
Filed under: Zonotrichia albicollis (white-throated sparrow)
Lineage: Eukaryota; Metazoa; Chordata; Aves; Passeriformes; Passerellidae
Description: lncRNA (ENSZALG00000011142.1)
Source: RNAcentral